GCCCAGAUCACCGAAGAAGCAACAUGUGAGCUGACAGCUGGAAAAGAUGCCAAAGGACUGGAGCCUGAGAUAAAAUUCGGUAUCAUUUCAGCAGCUGCUGAAGACUGAAGGCAACUUCUGUCGCAAGCUUGAGGCUCAAGGAAGGGCCAGACACUGGAAAACAUUUUCACAGGUCAGGCCAUGGAACCCUGGGAAGCUUGAAGACCCCAGACAGGGUUGGGGCGGAGCAGGUUGCUGAACAUGUUGGAGAAGAGGAAGACCCCCAGAGAACGAGAGGGUUGCACGUUCAUAGGAAGACUGAUGUGUGAGACCCAACCAACAAGCACUCAAGCAGUGACAGGGACACUUUGAGGAAGAAGAAGUGAACACUAUUAUUUUCUAUUUCUAACUUUUGUGAACUUUCAGAUCCUUUGAGCAAGGUGUCUUGUGGAAGGUCCUUGAGACCCCUGGAGCUGGACCAGUUAGAAAAUCAGAAAU
Myodes glareolus (Bank vole) is the source of this 477-nucleotide non-coding RNA. The record is from RefSeq and is a predicted model, not a curated record. Lineage: Eukaryota; Metazoa; Chordata; Mammalia; Rodentia; Cricetidae.